This 253-nucleotide ribosomal RNA is filed under the name uncultured bacterium. RNAcentral describes it as "partial 16S ribosomal RNA". It matches the Rfam family "Bacterial small subunit ribosomal RNA", at positions 524 to 776 of the family's 1533-position model. The record is from RNAcentral.
UACGGAGGGUGCGAGCGUUGUUCGGAAUCACUGGGCGUAAAGGGCGUGUAGGCGGUCCGCUAAGUCUGAUGUGAAAGCCCGGGGCUCACCCCCGGAAGUGCAUUGGAAACUGGCGGACUCGAGUCCCGGAGAGGAGAGUGGAAUUCCUGGUGUAGCGGUGAAAUGCGUAGAUAUCAGGAGGAACACCGGUGGCGAAGGCGGGUCUCUGGGCAACAACUGACGCUGAGGAGCGAAAGCGUGGGGAGCGAACAGG